Molecule: ribosomal RNA, 407 nt
Filed under: uncultured bacterium
Lineage: Bacteria
Description: partial 16S ribosomal RNA
Rfam family: Bacterial small subunit ribosomal RNA
Source: RNAcentral
AUUGAACGCUAGCGGGAUGCCUUACACAUGCAAGUCGAACGGAGUGGCGAACGGGUGAGUAAUGUAUCGGAACGUGCCCAGUAGCGGGGUAUAACUACGCGAAAGCGUAUCUAAUACCGCCUACUAUUGGAGCGGCCGAUAUCGGAUUAGGUAGUUGGUGGGGUAACGGCUCACCUAGUCGUCGAUCCGUAGCUGGGUUGAGAGGACGACCAGCCACACGGGGACGGAGACACGGCCCAGACUCCUACGUGAGUCAGCAGUUGGGAAUUUUGGACAAUGGGGGAAACCCUGAUCCAGCCAUCCCGCGUGUGCGAUGAAGGCCUUCGGGUUGUAAAGCACUUUUGGCAGGAAAGCGGUACCUGCAGAAUAAGCACCGGCUAACUAAGGGCCAGCAGCCGCGGUAAUUC